Ictidomys tridecemlineatus (thirteen-lined ground squirrel) is the source of this 1105-nucleotide non-coding RNA. The record is from RefSeq and is a predicted model, not a curated record. Lineage: Eukaryota; Metazoa; Chordata; Mammalia; Rodentia; Sciuridae.
AGAGGGAGAGGGGGUGGGGAAGAGCGCUAGCAGCGGCGGCGAGCGGUCCGUCUCGCACGCGCGGGCACCGCGCUGGUCCUGGGCUGCAGGUUUUCCCAGAUGAUGGCAUCCGAGAACUUAAACAAAGAAGGCCGCCGCCGGCGCGCGGCGGCUGCAGAAAGUUGCGGUGGCGGAUUUCCAAGGAGCGUGGCCACGACCCGAGCUCUUGGUGAGGCGAGCCCCCCCUUCCCACCCCCGCCGAGACGAGGACGGGGGCCGGCUGGUGAAGGGAAGAGGAAACUUUGAAACCACUGGGGACACAUCUGUCUAUAGACCUAUCGUGAACGCCUAGAGCCUCCGAGGGAACGCCAACGUUUAGGCCGGACACUAAGAACAACUGCUGGGAAAAUAAUAAAACACCAACCCCAACCGUCAGCAACAAGGAAAAAUGUCGCAUCAGACUGUGACUGUUGCGAGGAGAAUGAAAAAGGACUCUUGUUUCAGAGGCAACCUAGAGCUCCGGCAAUAGCAACUUCAGAGAAAUGCACCAUCGCAAGAAGUUUUCCUAGGACAGAACAAAACUUGAAACGACAGGACCAGAGGGGGAGAACAGGAGCCAGCCUCCCCUCUCCACACAGGAGAACAGCCAACAUCACCACGCCUUCAAGGACGAGAAAAGUUUUACUACUCUAAGGCAGAACGCGUGAAAUGUGUUCCUGAGGAGGAGAGAAGAGAGCGGACCAGGAAAGGAGCGGGCCGGUGGCUGGUUAUCCAUAAUUUGGCCAAGGAAGAAAGGAACAGCUUCUUUCUUUGUUGUCUCCCUGAACCUUCACUUAGCAGGUGGACUGAGCCCCGCGGCAGGGCAGAGUCCGCGCUCGCCGGAGGACAGGAGGAGGAGCGGGUACCCGCGCGCCCCGGGAGAGCGCCCCAAGUGCAGGUCCCCGCCCCGCCUGGUGAGCCCCGCUGGAGCAAGCCGAGCGCGCCGGGGUUGGGGGGUGGCCACGACCCCCCCUGAAAGGGCUGGCCACGGAGCGCGCCCCGAGAAGCGAGUCCCCCUCCCCAGAGCGCUGCUCCUGCUGCUGCUGUUGCUGCUGACCAAGGCCGGCCGGCGACCCCCGCGCCCUGC